CGUCCCGUAACGAGCGCCAACCCUUGUCCUUAGUUACCAGCACGUUAUGGUGGGCACUCUAAGGAGACUGCCGGUGACAACCGGAGGAAGGUGGGAUGACGUCAAGUCAUCAUGGCCCUUACGGCCUGGGCUACACACGUGCUACAAUGGUCGGUACAAAGGGUUGCCAAGCCGCGAGGUGGAGCUAAUCCCAUAAAACCGAUCGUAGUCCGGAUCGCAGUCUGCAACUCGACUGCGUGAAGUCGGAAUCGCUAGUAAUCGUGAAUCAGAAUGUCACGGUGAAUACGUUCCCGGACCUU
This 299-nucleotide ribosomal RNA is filed under the name uncultured Pseudomonas sp. Its description in RNAcentral is "partial 16S ribosomal RNA". It matches the Rfam family "Bacterial small subunit ribosomal RNA", at positions 1083 to 1382 of the family's 1533-position model. The record is from RNAcentral. Lineage: Bacteria; Pseudomonadati; Pseudomonadota; Gammaproteobacteria; Pseudomonadales; Pseudomonadaceae.